This 578-nucleotide ribosomal RNA is filed under the name uncultured bacterium. Its description in RNAcentral is "bacterial SSU rRNA". It matches the Rfam family "Bacterial small subunit ribosomal RNA", at positions 791 to 1367 of the family's 1533-position model. The record is from RNAcentral.
UAGUCCAUGCCGUAAACGUUGGGCACUAGGUGUGGGGGACAUUCCACGUUUUCCGCGCCGUAGCUAACGCAUUAAGUGCCCCGCCUGGGGAGUACGGCCGCAAGGCUAAAACUCAAAGGAAUUGACGGGGGCCCGCACAAGCGGCGGAGCAUGCGGAUUAAUUCGAUGCAACGCGAAGAACCUUACCAAGGCUUGACAUGUGCCAGACCGCUCCAGAGAUGGGGUUUCCCUUCGGGGCUGGUUCACAGGUGGUGCAUGGUUGUCGUCAGCUCGUGUCGUGAGAUGUUGGGUUAAGUCCCGCAACGAGCGCAACCCUCGUUCCAUGUUGCCAGCACGUAGUGGUGGGGACUCAUGGGAGACUGCCGGGGUCAACUCGGAGGAAGGUGGGGAUGACGUCAAAUCAUCAUGCCCCUUAUGUCUUGGGCUUCACGCAUGCUACAAUGGCCGGUACAAUGGGUUGCGAUACUGUGAGGUGGAGCUAAUCCCUAAAAGCCGGUCUCAGUUCGGAUUGGGGUCUGCAACUCGACCCCAUGAAGUCGGAGUCGCUAGUAAUCGCAGAUCAGCAACGUGCGGNAAAU